UGGGAGAAUGGUAGCACUUUGAGGGAUG
Molecule: non-coding RNA, 28 nt
Filed under: Rattus norvegicus (Norway rat)
Lineage: Eukaryota; Metazoa; Chordata; Mammalia; Rodentia; Muridae
Source: RNAcentral